Molecule: ribosomal RNA, 460 nt
Filed under: uncultured bacterium
Lineage: Bacteria
Description: partial 16S ribosomal RNA
Rfam family: Bacterial small subunit ribosomal RNA
Source: RNAcentral
CCUACGGGAGGCAGCAGUGAGGAAUAUUGGUCAAUGGACGAGAGUCUGAACCAGCCAAGUAGCGUGAAGGAUGACUGCCCUAUGGGUUGUAAACUUCUUUUAUAUGGGAAUAAAAUGUUCCACGUGUGGGAUUUUGUAUGUACCAUAUGAAUAAGGAUCGGCUAACUCCGUGCCAGCAGCCGCGGUAAUACGGAGGAUCCGAGCGUUAUCCGGAUUUAUUGGGUUUAAAGGGAGCGUAGGUGGAUUGUUAAGUCAGUUGUGAAAGUUUGCGGCCCAACCGUAAAAUUGCAGUUGAAACUGGCAGUCUUGAGUACAGUAGAGGUGGGCGGAAUGCGUGGUGUAGCGGUGAAAUGCUUAGAUAUCACGAAGAACUCCGAUUGCGAAGGCAGUUCACUGGACUGCAACUGACACUGAGGCUCGAAAGUGUGGGUAUCAAACAGGAUUAGAUACCCGUGUAGUC